Non-coding RNA from Vicia faba (fava bean), 303 nucleotides. The record is from the annotation of a GenBank genome assembly. Lineage: Eukaryota; Viridiplantae; Streptophyta; Magnoliopsida; Fabales; Fabaceae.
AUGAUAGAUACAACUCGUUCUUUUCUUGUAAUUGAACUUCUCAUAAAGGUUGUAAUUGAACUUCCCAUAAAGACUGGAUCAUUCAUUUCUUCAAUGUCGUCAUUAUCAGUAUGGAAAACUCUAGGUACCGAAACAUUGUUUUAUCUUAGGAUGGCAAGUUUUUGUAUGUAUUGGAGUAAUCAUGAUGGGAAGAGUCCCUUUGAUCAAAUUCCAACUCAUCAAGUGUUACUUGGUGCUGAUAGGAAACCAUGGCUCACAGCACAGGGAAAAGCUGGAAGGGGCACAUCCAGGAAAAAGUUGUAA